RNAcentral lists this ribosomal RNA (440 nucleotides) under uncultured bacterium. RNAcentral describes it as "bacterial SSU rRNA". It matches the Rfam family "Bacterial small subunit ribosomal RNA", at positions 338 to 770 of the family's 1533-position model. The record is from RNAcentral.
CCUACGGGUGGCAGCAGUGGGGAAUAUUGGACAAUGGGCGAAAGCCUGAUCCAGCCAUGCCGCGUGUGUGAAGAAGGUCUUCGGAUUGUAAAGCACUUUAAGUUGGGAGGAAGGGCAGUUACCUAAUACGUGAUUGUUUUGACGUUACCGACAGAAUAAGCACCGGCUAACUCUGUGCCAGCAGCCGCGGUAAUACAGAGGGUGCAAGCGUUAAUCGGAAUUACUGGGCGUAAAGCGCGCGUAGGUGGUUAGUUAAGUUGGAUGUGAAAUCCCCGGGCUCAACCUGGGAACUGCAUUCAAAACUGACUGACUAGAGUAUGGUAGAGGGUGGUGGAAUUUCCUGUGUAGCGGUGAAAUGCGUAGAUAUAGGAAGGAACACCAGUGGCGAAGGCGACCACCUGGACUGAUACUGACACUGAGGUGCGAAAGCGUGGGGAGCA